GCAAAGGCUCAUAAAUAUUUUGAUUGUUCUGUGUCUUUGCUGGGAUCUAAAUCCGAUACAACCCCAUCUAUAUCCGAAGAGCUGGAGCUCAUGCAAGCAGGGCUAGGAAAGAGGACCCUGUCCUUAACAUCAGAUACAACACAUGCCGAGUUAUCAAGUUUGCUGCGGGAAGCAUACUCAAAAAUGGUGGCUUCUUUUCAAAGCUGCAGGUGGGAAUGGAAGGAGAAGAAUAUCUGUAAUACCAUUGGAGGCAGAGGGGUAUACAGGAUCAGUGAUCAAAAGUGCUUCUAGUGGUGGGAAGAACUUGCUGUACGUCGUGCCGUUGCAGGAU
Cyprinus carpio (common carp) is the source of this 331-nucleotide long non-coding RNA. RefSeq lists it as uncharacterized. The transcript is spliced from 3 exons. Lineage: Eukaryota; Metazoa; Chordata; Actinopteri; Cypriniformes; Cyprinidae. The record is from RefSeq and is a predicted model, not a curated record.